AGCCUGAUGCAGCGACGCCGCGUGAGGGAUGGAGGCCUUCGGGUUGUAAACCUCUUUCGCCAGUGAAGCAGGCCUGUCCCUUUUGUGGGUGGGUUGACGGUAGCUGGAUAAGAAGCGCCGGCUAACUACGUGCCAGCAGCCGCGGUAAUACGUAGGGCGCGAGCGUUGUCCGGAAUUAUUGGGCGUAAAGAGCUCGUAGGCGGCUGGUCGCGUCUGUCGUGAAAUCCUCUGGCUUAACUGGGGGCUUGCGGUGGGUACGGGCCGGCUUGAGUGCGGUAGGGGAGACUGGAACUCCUGGUGUAGCGGUGGAAUGCGCAGAUAUCAGGAAGAACACCGGUGGCGAAGGCGGGUCUCUGGGCCGUUACUGACGCUGAGGAGCGAAAGCGUGGGGAGCGAACAGGAUUAGAUACCCUGGUAGUCCACGCCGUAAACGUUGGGCACUAGGUGUGGGGGGCCUUUUCCGGGUCUUCCGCGCCGUAGCUAACGCAUUAAGUGCCCCGCCUGGGGAGUACGGCCGCAAGGCUAAAACUCAAAGGAAUUGACGGGGGCCCGCACAAGCGGCGGAGCAUGCGGAUUAAUUCGAUGCAACGCGAAGAACCUUACCAAGGCUUGACAUGUGCCGGUCGGCUCCGGAGACGGGGUUUCCUCCUUGUGGG
RNAcentral lists this ribosomal RNA (656 nucleotides) under Actinomyces sp. oral taxon 175. Its description in RNAcentral is "bacterial SSU rRNA". It matches the Rfam family "Bacterial small subunit ribosomal RNA", at positions 380 to 1025 of the family's 1533-position model. Lineage: Bacteria; Bacillati; Actinomycetota; Actinomycetes; Actinomycetales; Actinomycetaceae. The record is from RNAcentral.